AACGCAAAUUGCACUCUCUGGUAUUCCGGAGAGUAUGCCUGUUUGAGGGUCAGUGUAAUAAAUAAAUCGUGGUUGUUACCACCUUUCGUGGUGACGCUUCGGAAUUGAGUCGUCUUACCUUUCGGUUAAGUGACUUAAAAUUUUUUCAUCAUACGAUUUCGAAACGUAUUUAAAACAUUAUGGUACGUUCACGAAUAUCGAAUGUGUGGUGUUUAUUAGGUGCGGUCAUUCUCAUGAUUCGCGUCUAUAAUUUUUCUUUUUUUUUUGACCUCAAAUCAGGUAAGAGUACCCGCUGAACUUAA
This 302-nucleotide unclassified non-coding RNA is filed under the name uncultured fungus. Its description in RNAcentral is "partial contains 5.8S ribosomal RNA, internal transcribed spacer 2, and large subunit ribosomal RNA". The stretch from base 1 to 52 matches the Rfam family "5.8S ribosomal RNA", at positions 103 to 154 of the family's 154-position model. Lineage: Eukaryota; Fungi. The record is from RNAcentral.